This 543-nucleotide ribosomal RNA is filed under the name Aureobasidium pullulans. RNAcentral's name for it is "eukaryotic LSU rRNA". It matches the Rfam family "Eukaryotic large subunit ribosomal RNA", at positions 100 to 658 of the family's 3401-position model. Lineage: Eukaryota; Fungi; Ascomycota; Dothideomycetes; Dothideales; Saccotheciaceae. The record is from RNAcentral.
GGCAACAGCUCAAAUUUGAAAGCUAGCCUUCGGGUUCGCAUUGUAAUUUGUAGAGGAUGCUUUGGGUAAAACGCCAGUCUAAGUUCCUUGGAACAGGACGUCAUAGAGGGUGAGAAUCCCGUAUGUGACUGGAAAUGUUAACCUAUGUAAAGCUCCUUCGACGAGUCGAGUUGUUUGGGAAUGCAGCUCUAAAUGGGAGGUAAAUUUCUUCUAAAGCUAAAUAUUGGCGAGAGACCGAUAGCGCACAAGUAGAGUGAUCGAAAGAUGAAAAGCACUUUGGAAAGAGAGUUAAAAAGCACGUGAAAUUGUUGAAAGGGAAGCGCUUGCAAUCAGACUUGUUUAAACUGUUCGGCCGGUCUUCUGACCGGUUUACUCAGUUUGGACAGGCCAGCAUCAGUUUCGGCGGCCGGAUAAAGGCAUUGGGAAUGUGGCCUUCACUUCGGUGGAGGUGUUAUAGCCCAGUGUGUAAUACGGCCAGCCGGGACUGAGGUCCGCGCUUCGGCUAGGAUGCUGGCGUAAUGGUUGUAAGCGACCCGUCUUGAA